AGAGUUUGAUCCUGGCUCAGGAUGAACGCUAGCGGCAGGCUUAACACAUGCAAGUCGAACGGUAACAGGGAAAAGCUUGCUUUUCUGCUGACGAGUGGCGAACGGGUGCGUAACACGUAUGCAACUUACCUUUAACAGGGGGAUAGCCCAGAGAAAUCUGGAUUAAUACCCCAUAACAUUAUCAUUUCGCAUGUUAUGAUAAUUAAAACUUCGGUGGUUAGAGAUAGGCAUGCGUCCCAUUAGUUAGUUGGUAAGGUAACGGCUUACCAAGACAGCGAUGGGUAGGGGGUCUGAGAGGAUGAUCCCCCACACUGGUACUGAGACACGGACCAGACUCCUACGGGAGGCAGCAGUGAGGAAUAUUGGGCAAUGGACGAAAGUCUGACCCAGCCAUGCCGCGUGCAGGAAGAAUGCCCUAUGGGUUGUAAACUGCUUUUAUAUACCAAGAAACGCAGGUACGUGUACCUGUCUGACGGUAGUAUAUGAAUAAGCACCGGCUAACUCCGUGCCAGCAGCCGCGGUAAUACGGAGGGUGCAAGCGUUAUCCGGAUUUAUUGGGUUUAAAGGGUUCGUAGGCGGGACUUUAAGUCAGUGGUGAAAGCCUAUAGCUCAACUAUAGAAUUGCCAUUGAUACUGAAGUUCUUGAGUACACUUGAAGUUAGCGGAAUGUAUCAUGUAGCGGUGAAAUGCAUAGAUAUGACAUAGAACACCGAUCGCGAAGGCAGCUUACUAAGCUAUUACUGACACUGAGGGACGAAAGCGUGGGGAGCGAACAGGAUUAGAUACCCUGGUAGUCCACGCCGUAAACGAUGAUUACUCGUUGCUAGCGAUACACUGUUAGUGACUAAGCGAAAGUGUUAAGUAAUCCACCUGGGGAGUACGAUCGCAAGGUUGAAACUCAAAGGAAUUGACGGGGGCCCGCACAAGCGGUGGAGCAUGUGGUUUAAUUCGAUGAUACGCGAGGAACCUUACCAGGGCUUAAAUGUAGGACGACAGUUUGGGAAACCAGAUUUUCUUCGGACGGCCUACAAGGUGCUGCAUGGUUGUCGUCAGCUCGUGCUGUGAAGUGUCGGGUUAAGUCCCAUAACGAGCGCAACCCCUAUUUCUAGUUGCCAGCGGGUAAUGCCGGGGACUCUAGAGAAACUGCCGGUGCAAACCGAGAGGAAGGUGGGGAUGACGUCAAAUCAUCACGGCCCUUACGUCCUGGGCCACACACGUGCUACAAUGGUAGGUACAGAGAGACGCCACUUGGUGACAAGGAGCAAAUCUUAAAAGCCUAUCUCAGUUCGGAUUGGAGUCUGCAACUCGACUCCAUGAAGCUGGAAUCGCUAGUAAUCGCAUAUCAGCCAUGAUGCGGUGAAUACGUUCCCGGGCCUUGUACACACCGCACGUCAAGCCAUGGAAGCUGGGGGUGCCUGAAGUCGGUAACCAUAUAGGAGCUGCCUAGGGUAAAACUAGUGACUGGGGCUAAGUCGUAACAAGGUAGCC
This 1488-nucleotide ribosomal RNA is filed under the name uncultured prokaryote. RNAcentral describes it as "partial 16S ribosomal RNA". It matches the Rfam family "Bacterial small subunit ribosomal RNA". The record is from RNAcentral.